RNAcentral lists this ribosomal RNA (349 nucleotides) under uncultured Clostridiaceae bacterium. RNAcentral describes it as "partial 16S ribosomal RNA". The record is from RNAcentral. Lineage: Bacteria; Bacillati; Bacillota; Clostridia; Eubacteriales; Clostridiaceae.
GGAGUUUGGACCGUGUCUCAGUUCCAAUGUGGCCGAUUACCCUCUCAGGUCGGCUACUGAUCGUCGACUUGGUAGGCCGUUACCCUACCAACUAUCUAAUCAGACGCAGGUGCAUCCCAUGCCGAUAAAUCUUUGGCGAGUCUGCCAUGUGACAAACCCGCAUUAUGCGGUAUUAAUCCAGGUUUCCCUAGGCUAUCCCUCUGCAUGGGGCAGCUUACCUACGCGUUACUCACCCGUCCGCCGCUAUCCAUCGCUUAUUUCUGCCGAAGCUUAUUUCCGCAAUUUCCCGCUCGACUUGCAUGUGUUAGGCACGCCGCCAGCGUUCAUCCUCGAGCCAUGAUCAAACUCU